AGCUAAACGUCUGAUAUGAGAAGAAGCUUUUUUGUGAAUCUGGAAUGAGAAAUGUUUUUAUUAAACAGAUUUUUUUUUAUUUACCUGACGAGAUUUAAACCCGGGACCUCCUGCACUUCAGUCUAUGAUCUUAUCACUGCUGCAAUUUGUUCUUAAUCCCAACGUGGCUUAUUGUGAACCGUUGUUUCAAAGAAACUAAUUCCUCGUGGGAUUAAAAUUGGGAUUAAAAUGCAAAUUGCCAGCUGGCAAGAUCGCUGAUCAAGCUGAACGAAAAAA
Molecule: long non-coding RNA, 276 nt
Organism: Bradysia coprophila
Lineage: Eukaryota; Metazoa; Arthropoda; Insecta; Diptera; Sciaridae
Source: RefSeq, a predicted model, not a curated record